This 253-nucleotide ribosomal RNA is filed under the name uncultured bacterium. RNAcentral's name for it is "partial 16S ribosomal RNA". It matches the Rfam family "Bacterial small subunit ribosomal RNA", at positions 524 to 776 of the family's 1533-position model. The record is from RNAcentral.
UACGUAGGGUGCAAGCGUUACUCGGAAUUACUGGGCGUAAAGCGUGCGCAGGCGGUUUGUUAAGUCCGUUGUGAAAGCCCCGAGCUCAACUUGGGAAUUGCAGUGGAUACUGGCAGGCUGGAGUACGGUAGAGGAAGGUGGAAUUCCCGGUGUAGCAGUGAAAUGCGUAGAUAUCGGGAGGAACACCAGUGGCGAAGGCGGCCUUCUGGACCAGUACUGACGCUCAUGCACGAAAGCGUGGGGAGCAAACAGG